RNAcentral lists this ribosomal RNA (301 nucleotides) under uncultured bacterium. Its description in RNAcentral is "partial 16S ribosomal RNA". It matches the Rfam family "Bacterial small subunit ribosomal RNA", at positions 509 to 807 of the family's 1533-position model. The record is from RNAcentral.
CAGUCGCCGCGGGAAUACGUAGGGUGCAAGCGUUAAUCGGAAUUACUGGGCGUAAAGCGUGCGCAGGCGGUUCGUUAAGACAGAUGUGAAAUCCCCGGGCUUAACCUGGGAACUGCAUUUGUGACUGGCGGGCUAGAGUAUGGCAGAGGGGGGUAGAAUUCCACGUGUAGCAGUGAAAUGCGUAGAGAUGUGGAGGAAUACCGAUGGCGAAGGCAGCCCCCUGGGCCAAUACUGACGCUCAUGCACGAAAGCGUGGGGAGCAAACAGGAUUAGAUACCCGUGUAGUCCCUGUCUCUUAUAC